This 856-nucleotide ribosomal RNA is filed under the name Amanita sp. 5 ZLY-2014. Its description in RNAcentral is "eukaryotic LSU rRNA". It matches the Rfam family "Eukaryotic large subunit ribosomal RNA", at positions 82 to 918 of the family's 3401-position model. The record is from RNAcentral. Lineage: Eukaryota; Fungi; Basidiomycota; Agaricomycetes; Agaricales; Amanitaceae.
AGUAACUGCGAGUGAAGCGGGACAAGCUCAAAUUUAAAAUCUGGCAGAUGUUUGUCUGUCCGAGUUGUAACCUAGAGAAGUGUAACCUGUGCUGGACCGUGUACAAGUCUCCUGGAAUGGAGCAUCAUAGAGGGUGAGAAUCCCGUCUUUGACAUGGACUACCAGUGCACUGUGGUUGCACACUCAACGAGUCGAGUUGUUUGGGAAUGCAGCUCUAAAUGGGUGGUAAAUUCCAUCUAAAGCUAAAUAUUGGCGAGAGACCGAUAGCGAACAAGUACCGUGAGGGAAAGAUGAAAAGAACUUUGGAAAGAGAGUUAAACAGUAUGUGAAAUUGUUGAAAGGGAAACGCUUGAAGUCAGCUGCAUUAGCUGGGGAUCAAGCCAGCUUUUUUGCUGGGUGUACUUCCUGGUUGAUGGGCCAACAUCAGUUUUGACCAUCAGAGAAAGGCUAAGGGAAUGUGGCACCUUUAUAGGUGUGUUAUAGCCCUUGGUUGUAUGUGAUGGUUGGGACUGAGGACAGCAGUGUGCCGCAAGGCUGGGUUUCGACCACGUUCAUGCUUCGGAUGUUGGCAUAAUGGCUUUAAGCGACCCGUCUUGAAACACGGACCAAGGAGUCUAACAUGCAUGCAAGUGUUUGGGUGGAAAACUCGAGCGCGUAAUGAAAGUGAAAGUUGAGAUCCCUCUCACAGGGGAGCAUCGACGCCCGGACCAGAACUUUUGGGACGGAUCUGCGGUAGAGCAAGCAUGUUGGGACCCGAAAGAUGGUGAACUAUGCCUGAAUAGGGUGAAGCCAGAGGAAACUCUGGUGGAGGCUCGUAGCGAUUCUGACGUGCAAAUCGAUCGUCGAAUUUGGGUAU